GACGAACGCUGGCGGCGUGCCUAAUACAUGCAAGUCGAGCGCAGAGGCGUGGUACUUGUACCAACUGCGUGAGCAGCGCACGGGUGAGUAACGCGUGGGGAAUCUGCCUUUGAGAGGGGGACAACCUCUGGAAACGGAUGCUAAUACCGCAUAAAAUCUUUAAACACAAGUUUUAAGUGUGAAAGAUGCAAUUGCAUCACUCAAAGGUGAUCCCGCGUCGUAUUAGCUAGUUGGUGAGGUAAAGGCUCACCAAGGCGAUGAUACGUAGCCGACCUGAGAGGGUGGUCGGCCACAUGGGAACGGAGACGCGGCCCAAACUCCUGCGGGAGGCCGCAGUAGGGAAUCUUCGGCAAUGGGCGAAAGUCUGACGGAGCAACGCCGCGUGAGUGAUGAAGGUUUUCGGAGCGUAAAACUCUGUUAUUAGGGAAAAACGGGUGUGUAAGUGGAAAUGCCCUUAUUGACGGUAACUAACCAGAAAGCCACGGCUAACUACGUG
RNAcentral lists this ribosomal RNA (496 nucleotides) under uncultured bacterium. RNAcentral describes it as "partial 16S ribosomal RNA". It matches the Rfam family "Bacterial small subunit ribosomal RNA", at positions 28 to 507 of the family's 1533-position model. The record is from RNAcentral.